UACGGAAGGCAGCAGUGGGGAAUAUUGCACAAUGGGCGAAAGCCUGAUGCAGCUAUGCCGCGUGUAUGAAGAAGGCCUUAGGGUUGUAAAGUACUUUCAUCGGGGAGGAAAAAACAAAACUAAUAAUUUUAUUUCUUGACGUUACCCGAAAAAGAAGCACCGGCUAACUCCGUGCCAGCAGCCGCGGUAAUACGGAGGGUGCUAGCGUUAAUCAGAAUUACUGGGCGUAAAGAGCACGUAGGUGGUUUUUUUAAGUCAGAUGUGAAAUCCCUGGGCUUAACCUAGGAACUGCAUUUUGAAACUGAAAUACUAGAGUAUCGUAGAGGGAGGUAGAAUUCUAGGUGUAGCGGUGAAAUGCGUAGAUAUCUGGAGGAAUACCUGUGGCGAAAGCGGCCUCCUAAACGAAUACUGACACUGAGGUGCGAAAGCGUGGGGAGCAAACAGGGAUUAGAUACCUU
This 458-nucleotide ribosomal RNA is filed under the name uncultured bacterium. RNAcentral describes it as "bacterial SSU rRNA". It matches the Rfam family "Bacterial small subunit ribosomal RNA", at positions 340 to 788 of the family's 1533-position model. The record is from RNAcentral.